CUAUUGAUACUCUAACUUCUGAAUUACCACAGGUGCACGCUGAAGGCGGAAAUGAAGCAUGAUCUGGCUUGCAUCUGGUCAUGAAGAAAUUGCUGACACGUUAGUUGCAGUCCACCUCCACCAACAGGGUGGAAAACAAAGGUCGCCAUUCCGAUUAGCUGCUAUCUCCCAGUUCAAGCACUUUUGUGUCUGGACACUGGUUCCUGUGGAUGGGGUGUUACAAGCUUUACUGUCUGAUAUAGAAGUGAUGAGCAUCCAUAAGGACACAUGCCAGAAAGGGAGUCUCUUUGGGAUGACAAACCCUCAUCACCUCAUGAGGAUACAAUGGUUGACGAAUGGUUCUCAAGCACAUCGAAACUUCCAACAAAUAAUUCAUGAAAAAGCCAGUCAGUGCUAGCACCAGGAAUUGAACGUGGACCGU
Molecule: long non-coding RNA, 421 nt
Organism: Ornithodoros turicata
Lineage: Eukaryota; Metazoa; Arthropoda; Arachnida; Ixodida; Argasidae
Exons: 3
Source: RefSeq, a predicted model, not a curated record